This 363-nucleotide unclassified non-coding RNA is filed under the name Hevea brasiliensis (rubber tree). Lineage: Eukaryota; Viridiplantae; Streptophyta; Magnoliopsida; Malpighiales; Euphorbiaceae. The record is from RNAcentral.
AAUUUUUUUUUUUUUUUAACAGUAAACAAGGCAGAAAAUUUUGGACGAAAAGUAGAGGGAGAUUUUGAGGUCACAGUGGAAGAUAUGAAAGUUUGCAGGAGCUUACAGAAAUUUGGAUUGAAUUUAGGCUCUAAUACCAAAUUUGACGUAAAACAAAGAGGAACAAGUAACAAAUGCUUAGAAAAAGAGAAAUAAUGCUCAAUAAUUUUAUUAAUUUUAAUAAUAAUCAUAGUCAAAGCUACUGAAUAAUAUAAAAUUAGCUUUAUUUAUAGAACUUACAACUCUAAUCAAUUUAGGAAGAGAGACCCUAAUCAAUUCUAAUUAGGAACAUUAAAUAAAAUAAAUUAGAAAAUAAUAGACCUA